RNAcentral lists this ribosomal RNA (402 nucleotides) under uncultured bacterium. RNAcentral's name for it is "partial 16S ribosomal RNA". It matches the Rfam family "Bacterial small subunit ribosomal RNA", at positions 355 to 774 of the family's 1533-position model. The record is from RNAcentral. RNAcentral also lists the same sequence under 1 other name.
UGGGGAAUAUUGGACAAUGGGCGCAAGCCUGAUCCAGCAAUGCCGCGUGAGUGAUGAAGGCCUUAGGGUUGUAAAGCUCUUUUACCCGGGAUGAUAAUGACAGUACCGGGAGAAUAAGCCCCGGCUAACUCCGUGCCAGCAGCCGCGGUAAUACGGAGGGGGCUAGCGUUGUUCGGAAUUACUGGGCGUAAAGCGCACGUAGGCGGCUUUGUAAGUUAGAGGUGAAAGCCCAGGGCUUAACCCUGGAAUUGCCUUUAAGACUGCAUCGCUAGAAUCGUGGAGAGGUGAGUGGAAUUCCGAGUGUAGAGGUGAAAUUCGUAGAUAUUCGGAAGAACACCAGUGGCGAAGGCGACUCACUGGACACGUAUUGACGCUGAGGUGCGAAAGCGUGGGGAGCAAACA